Molecule: non-coding RNA, 101 nt
Organism: Artomyces pyxidatus
Lineage: Eukaryota; Fungi; Basidiomycota; Agaricomycetes; Russulales; Auriscalpiaceae
Source: the annotation of a GenBank genome assembly
UCGGAUAUGGUGUAACGGUUUAACAUUGCCGCCUCUCAUCGAGGAUUAGAACCUGGAUAAAUGGUGCGCGGCAGCUCGGGGUUCGAUUCCCCGUAUCCGAA